UGAGGAAUAUUGGGCAAUGGGCGCAAGCCUGACCCAGCCACGCCGUGUGAGUGAUGAAGGCCUUCGGGUUGUAAAGCUCUGUAAGAGAGGGACGAAAAUCUGAGUUCGAAUAGGACUCGGGAUUGACGGUACCUUUUUAGAAAGCACCGGCUAACUCUGUGCCAGCAGCCGCGGUAAGACAGAGGGUGCGAACGUUGCUCGGAAUCACUGGGCGUAAAGCGCGCGUAGGCGGACCGGAAAGUCGGUUGUGAAAUCCCUGGGCUCAACCCAGGAACUGCAUCCGAAACUCCCGGUCUCGAGUGACGGAGAGGAUAGUGGAAUUCCCGGUGUAGAGGUGAAAUUCGUAGAUAUCGGGAGGAACACCAGUGGCGAAGGCGGCUAUCUGGACGUCCACUGACGCUGAGGCGCGAAAGCGUGGGGAGCAAACAGG
RNAcentral lists this ribosomal RNA (430 nucleotides) under uncultured bacterium. RNAcentral's name for it is "bacterial SSU rRNA". It matches the Rfam family "Bacterial small subunit ribosomal RNA", at positions 355 to 776 of the family's 1533-position model. The record is from RNAcentral.